RNAcentral lists this ribosomal RNA (460 nucleotides) under uncultured bacterium. Its description in RNAcentral is "bacterial SSU rRNA". It matches the Rfam family "Bacterial small subunit ribosomal RNA", at positions 30 to 497 of the family's 1533-position model. The record is from RNAcentral.
AUUGAACGCUGGCGGCAGGCCUAACACAUGCAAGUCGAGCGGGGUUUUCGGACCUAGCGGCGGACGGGUGAGUAAUGCGUAGGAAGCUACCCGAUAGAGGGGAUACCAGUUGGAAACGACUGUUAAUACCGCAUAAUGUCUACGGACCAAAGUGUGGGACCUUCGGGCCACAUGCUAUCGGAUGCGCCUACGUGGGAUUAGCUAGUUGGUGAGGUAAUGGCUCACCAAGGCGACGAUCUCUAGCUGGUUUGAGAGGAUGAUCAGCCACACUGGAACUGAGACACGGUCCAGACUCCUACGGGAGGCAGCAGUGGGGAAUAUUGGACAAUGGGCGCAAGCCUGAUCCAGCCAUGCCGUGUGUGUGAAGAAGGCCUUAGGUUGUAAAGCACUUUCAGCGAGGAGGAAGGGGUUGUAGUUAAUAGCUGCAAUCUUUGACGUUACUCGCAGAAGAAGACACCGG